GUGUGUGUGUGUGUGUGUGUGUGUGUGUGUGUGUGUGUGUGUGUGUGUGUGUGUGUGUGUGUGUGUGUGUGUGUGUGUGUGUGUGUGUGUGUCUGUGUCUGUGAGAGAGAGAGAGAGAGAGUUUGUCCGUGUGUGUGUGAGGCGCCAGCCACCCUCCCUCCCUACACGUUGAUCUUAUUCGAUCGGCCGGGCCCCGCCGGGCCGAGGUGAGAAGAAAGCGCCGCGAAGCCCUCGGGCGCUGUGCGGCUGGGCCGGGCGGGAUGAGUCGAUCAGAUAGGCGAGGCCACGGCCGCUGAGCGCCCUGCGAUUCUGACCCGA
Camarhynchus parvulus is the source of this 318-nucleotide non-coding RNA. NCBI's taxonomy places the organism in Eukaryota, Metazoa, Chordata, Aves, Passeriformes, Thraupidae. The record is from Ensembl.